This 489-nucleotide ribosomal RNA is filed under the name uncultured bacterium. Its description in RNAcentral is "partial 16S ribosomal RNA". It matches the Rfam family "Bacterial small subunit ribosomal RNA", at positions 30 to 507 of the family's 1533-position model. The record is from RNAcentral.
UUGCACGCUUGCGGCAGGCCUAACACCUGCAAGUCGAACGGUAACAGAAAGCAGCUUGCUGCUUUGCUGACGAGUGGCGGACGGGUGAGUAAUGUCUGGUAAACUGCCUGAUGGAGGGGGAUAACUACUGGAAACGGUAGCUAAUACCGCAUAACGUCGCAAGACCAAAGAGGGGGACCUUCGGGCCUCUUGCCAUCCCAUGUGCCCAGAUGGGAUUAGCUCGUAGGUGGGGUAACGGCUCACCUAGGCGGCGAUCCCUAGCUGGUCUGAGAGGAUGACCAGCCGCACUGGAACAGAGAGACGGUCCAGACUCCUACGGGAGGCAGCAGUGGGGAAGUUUGCACAAUGGGGGAAAGCCUGAUGGAGCCAUGCCGCGUGGAUGAAGAAGGCCUUCGGGUUGUAAAGUACUUUCCGCGGGGAGGAAGGGAGUAAAGUUAAUACCUUUGCUCAUUGACGUUACCCGCAGAAGAAGCACCGGCUAACUCCGUG